CUGUAUUUCGAUUUUUGAACUAUGUAUAUAAAGCUCAGUUUGUUUAGCCUUUGUUUACUCGAGCAGCUCUAUACUACUGUUUGUAGUAUUGUAUGUUUACAUGUACAGCUGUCGCUUCGUAUACAAGAAAAAUUUCGUUGUAUACGGCGGAUUUGUCGGCGUGCCCGGGGAACGAGACAUCCGGGUCGUGACACUCCCUCCCCUCUCUCUCCCCCUCUCUCUCGGACUCGGCGCACGAGCGGGAGGGAGCGGGGCACGCGCGGGAGUGGAUGCGCGCAGGGCGCGUGCACGGCGCGAGCACCGGGGGGAUGAGGAAAGGGAAAGAGGGGAAGAGAGAGAGAGAGAGAGAGAGAGAGAGAGAGAGAGAGAGGCAGGGGGGCCGGCAUGUAUGCGGGGAGAGAGAGAGAGAGAGAGAGAAAAAGAGUGAGAGAGGGAGCCAGGGGAGAAAGAGAGAGAGGGAGGAAGAGAGAGAGAGACGGAGUGAGAGAGAAAGAAUUUUAAAAUUUUAAAUUUCAAAUUUUAUAUUUUAUUUUUUACUUUUAAAUUUUAAUGUUAACUUAUAAUAUAUAUUUCAAUUUUAAGCUUCAAAGUUUCAAAUUUUAAAUCUCUAAACUCUAUAAAAUUAAUUAAAUUUAUUAAUAAUUAGUUAUAUAUUAUAUAAUUUUUUAUUCUUCUCUAUUUAAAUAAUUCUUUUACUUUGUCUCUCUUUUUAAUUUUUUUUUAUUUUUUGAAGUUUAAAAUUUAAAUUAGAUUUGAAAAUUAAAAAAAGUUAAAAAAAUAAAUACUAACAACUGAAAUAUAGAAAUAUAUUAGUUUGUUCAAAAUAUUUUAGAAACCGCAUAAAUUUUCGCUGCGAAGCGCCGGUCUUUACUAGUAUUACAUUAUACAUGCCUCCUCCAUCC
This 902-nucleotide long non-coding RNA is filed under the name Ananas comosus (pineapple). RNAcentral's name for it is "long non-coding RNA (ACOM_LNC026218)". The record is from RNAcentral. Lineage: Eukaryota; Viridiplantae; Streptophyta; Magnoliopsida; Poales; Bromeliaceae.